This 154-nucleotide non-coding RNA is filed under the name Kurthia senegalensis. The record is from RNAcentral. Lineage: Bacteria; Bacillati; Bacillota; Bacilli; Caryophanales; Caryophanaceae.
AGAUGGUGCUUACGAGAGUAAGCUUAAAAGGGAAGUUUGGUGAAAAUCCAACGCUGUCCCGCAACUGUAAGUAGGAGUCUUUUAUAACGAUGUCACUGAUUAUUCGGGAAGGCAUAAAAGACGAUGAAUACGAGCCAGGAGACCUGCCAUACUU